RNAcentral lists this ribosomal RNA (520 nucleotides) under uncultured bacterium. RNAcentral describes it as "partial 16S ribosomal RNA". It matches the Rfam family "Bacterial small subunit ribosomal RNA", at positions 28 to 507 of the family's 1533-position model. The record is from RNAcentral.
GACGAACGCUGGCGGCGUGCCUAAUACAUGCAAGUCGAACGCACUCUCGUUUAGAUUGAAGGAGUUUGCUCCUGAUUGAUAAACAUUUGAGUGAGUGGCGGACGGGUGAGUAACACGUGGGUAACCUGCCCUAAAGUGGGGGAUAACAUUUGGAAACAGAUGCUAAUACCGCAUAAAACCUAACACCGCAUGGUGUAGGGUUGAAAGAUGGUUUCGGCUAUCACUUUAGGAUGGACCCGCGGUGCAUUAGUUAGUUGGUGAGGUAAAGGCUCACCAAGACCGUGAUGCAUAGCCGACCUGAGAGGGUAAUCGGCCACACUGGGACUGAGACACGGCCCAGACUCCUACGGGAGGCAGCAGUAGGGAAUCUUCCACAAUGGACGAAAGUCUGAUGGAGCAACGCCGCGUGAGUGAAGAAGGUUUUCGGAUCGUAAAACUCUGUUGUUGGAGAAGAACGUAUCUGAGAGUAACUGAUCAGGUAGUGACGGUAUCCAACCAGAAAGCCACGGCUAACUACGUG